RNAcentral lists this small nuclear RNA (60 nucleotides) under Podarcis muralis (Common wall lizard). Lineage: Eukaryota; Metazoa; Chordata; Lepidosauria; Squamata; Lacertidae. The record is from RNAcentral.
GUGCUCGCUUCAGCAGCACAUAUACUAAAAUUGGAAUGAUACAGAGAAGAUUAGCACGUC